RNAcentral lists this ribosomal RNA (440 nucleotides) under uncultured bacterium. RNAcentral's name for it is "partial 16S ribosomal RNA". It matches the Rfam family "Bacterial small subunit ribosomal RNA", at positions 338 to 795 of the family's 1533-position model. The record is from RNAcentral.
ACUACGGGGUGCAGCAGUGGGGGAUAUUGCACAAUGGGGGGAACCCUGAUGCAGCGACGCCGCGUGGGUGAAGAAGCGCCUCGGCGCGUAAAGCCCUGUCAGCAGGGAAGAAAAUGACGGUACCUGAAGAAGAAGCCCCGGCUAACUACGUGCCAGCAGCCGCGGUAAUACGUAGGGGGCAAGCGUUAUCCGGAUUUACUGGGUGUAAAGGGGGCGCAGACGGCGAUGCAAGCCAGGAGUGAAAGCCCGGGGCCCAACCCCGGGACUGCGCUUGGAACUGCGUGGCUGGAGUGCAGGAGGGGCAGGCGGAAUUCCUGGUGUAGCGGUGAAAUGCGUAGAUAUCAGGAGGAACACCGGUGGCGAAGGCGGCCUGCUGGACUGCAACUGACGUUGAGGCCCGAAAGCGUGGGGAGCAAACAGGAUUAGAUACCCCAGUAGUC